This 200-nucleotide unclassified non-coding RNA is filed under the name Hysteriales sp. RNAcentral's name for it is "partial internal transcribed spacer 2". Lineage: Eukaryota; Fungi; Ascomycota; Dothideomycetes; Hysteriales. The record is from RNAcentral.
UUAAGUUCAGCGGGUAUCCUCACCUGAUCCGAGGUCAAACUUUAGGAUGUGAUUACCUGGCGGGCGCCGCCACGGACUCCUGAAGCGAAAUUUUUGCUACGCUUGAAGCCGGACUGCACUGCCAACGGGUUACGGACGGGUCACUCGACCGCGUCCAAGACCAAGCUGGGCUUGAUGGUUUAAAUGACGCUCGAACAGGC